GCCUCGAUGGUGAAAUUGGUAGACACAGCGGACUUAAACUCCGCCGCUGCCCGAAAGGGGGCGUACCGGUUCGACCCCGGUUCGAGGCACCA
RNAcentral lists this transfer RNA (92 nucleotides) under Hydrogenophaga sp. RNAcentral's name for it is "tRNA-Leu". It matches the Rfam family "tRNA". From Rfam's summary of the family: Transfer RNA (tRNA) molecules are approximately 80 nucleotides in length. RNAcentral also lists the same sequence under 1 other name. Lineage: Bacteria; Pseudomonadati; Pseudomonadota; Betaproteobacteria; Burkholderiales; Comamonadaceae. The record is from RNAcentral.